Molecule: long non-coding RNA, 1296 nt
Filed under: Pavo cristatus (Indian peafowl)
Lineage: Eukaryota; Metazoa; Chordata; Aves; Galliformes; Phasianidae
Description: lncRNA (ENSPSTG00000012415.1)
Source: RNAcentral
AUGAAAAAGAUUAAAUUAAAUUUCCAACAGAGAACGCAUUUAUUCACGUCUACGAUGGCAGUUUUAAUUUUCUGGCUGCUCCAAAGAAUGCAGCGUCCAACCAGAGAGAAAUUUCUUCCUGGAUUUACAACCUCGUGCAAAAAACCAGCUGCAAAGGAACAGCACCUCCACCCCAGGACACAGCCAGGCCGCUCCCACUGCCACGAAACGGGCCUUCAGCACUAAGGUUGUGAUUCAAUAAAUAGGACUGGAAUCACAGGUCAUUCCCUUCCUUGGUGUAAGCUAAUAUUUUGCAAAUAUGGUCCACUCAGUGUAAACUGUGCUGACUUUGGGAAACAGUGAAUUCUACCACAGACACAACUCAAAUAUUUACAGGCGGUAGCACAGCACUGCUGUCCCCGUGGGACGCUCACACACACAGGGACGGGGAUCCCACACAGAUGCGUACCACGAUGUACCUUCCAAAGGACGAGAGGGACUUCUUAGCGGCAAGAAACUGCCAAAGAAUUCUUGAUUGUUGUAUUUAAAUCUACUUAAAUCAGAUGGUGAUGGGGACUCAGAACAUCUGCACGUCUGACACUAUUCAGGGAUUGCAGCAAGUCGCAAUGAAGAUAACGUGAAGCACCUUUUGGCACAUGGCAUCGUUCACAAAAUGCUGCUGGCCCAACUGCUCCAAAACGGGGCUGCACAGACACUGCUUUUUAUCCUUGGAGACAAACCGGCGUAGGACUUACAGCACCUUUCCCUAUACAAAGGUGUGCCAAAGGGGUGGAAAUGCACACUAUUAUACUAUUAUUAUUUUUAGGAAAAAUUGAGAAGAGAAGAAAAGAAAGGCGACAUUUUGAAAACACGCCUUUCUGGACUCAGGGUGUUUUCCCCACAUGAAAUAACAACAAGGUCACACGGGCUGCUGCUUCCUCACCCCCAGGCCACACAAAUUACCGUUUCUUCUCUAACUCCUUUGGAGCUUGCUUCCCUUCUCUUUGAUAUUUCUUCUCCAUAACUGAGAACAAGGAAGGCUGCCCAGGUUGUCCGAAGCACUCCUUGGAGCAAUCACCACACAAGCCACAGCGAUCUUAAACUUGAAAAUCCAAGACGUACCACUACGGAUCCACAGAGACUCCAGCUCUCCUUCUGAAACAACGCUCCCAUUUUCCACUGCUUUUCACACCAGAGCUUUUCAUGCCGCUUGCGACAGCGGCUGUGGCAAUGGCAGCAGAAGCUGGCAGUCCAUGAAAGGCGCCCCGCGUGGCACAGAGACGAGCAGGAGCGUCUGCUCUGUGCAGUGCCCGGCCU